UGUGUACAUUGCCUCGUUGCAGCUAAGCCAUCUAUCUCGGUUCUCAGGCCAAGUCAACCAUCAAUCAUUCGUCCUCCCCAGUGGAGUCCAACUACUCAAUGGCAGAUGGUGGCCUACUUCUCCGGACAGCUUCAGAUGCCCAUCUCCGCGUGCUAAUUAAAAAGGCAAAUAAAUAGAGUAAAUACAGAUGCGGCUGCAUGAUACGUGAGAGACUAAUCUGAGGAAUGAUAAGGAGAUGAGUUACCUUAUCGACCUGAAAUCUGUAAACAUAAGUCUCUUCAGGAUUGAUGGCGCACUGUGAGAUGGAAGCUGUUCCAUCAGCCCAUGGUGUUCCAUACUGGUUGCAGCCAGUGACGUGCACAUUUGUAAGCAUAAUAGCAAGGACAUGAACGCAUGAAAUGAAGUGGAUGACAACUCCCUCGGUGUGAAGGGCGUUCUUCAGCUCGACAUGGAUGGUGUCGCCGGCCUUGGCGCGGAUGGUCGGUCCAGGGAACUGGCCGUUGAUCCCAAGUAGAAUCUUCUCCUCGCAAUCCGGCGACGCAUACAUGUAACCCACCUCCCACUUGAAAUGCCUGGUCUUUGACGCCAAGCCAGCCUGCAGCAGGAGUGAGAUGAUACAAGAGACGUACAGAAGCGAGACCAUAGUCAAAUGGUAGUAUUAUCCGGUUGAACUAGCGAGUGGUAGCCGAUGGAUGGAGUGUUUGGAAACAGGUGGAGAUGAAGGUUGAAGGGGAAGACUAAGAGGGAGUAGAAUUAGAAAGACUGUGGAUGAAGCAGCAUGUUUCUUGAGUUGGUUGGAGCAACUAUGCUGCAGUGGGUGCUUUUUUUAUAGUGGGAGAUGGGUUUAAAUUAGAGCAAGGAAUUAUCAGAAUUCUUAGUUGAUUGUCACUUUUAUUAUAUAGGGUAUGAUUUGAAUCAUAGUUUCUCAUGUUACAAAGGAACAACUUUAUGAGGUCCAUCCUCAACAACUAUUUUAAAGAUAGAUGAAGAGAGAGAACUGAGCAUAACAGGUGGUGUCGAUGAUGGUCUUUGGGAUAGUAGAGCAUCUUUCUCCCGUAUUGUGAGGCACAUGGUAGGGAAUCAUGCCAAAAGAGAGUUGGGUUGGUUUAUCUAAAGAAGACGAAUAGUAAUCAACAUCAGCUACUUGCAUCACUUUGACUAGGUGACCAGAAUCUUUUGAACGUUGAUGCAACUUGCUUCGGCUACUUGCAUCAAUCACUUGUGAACAAAAAGAACCAAGAAUCCAAGGAGGAACAAGAAGACAUUCUGAAGAAUGAAGAAUGGUACAAUAUGCCUCGGCUACUUGCAUCGCCUUUGACGGGGUGAAAUGAAUCUUAUGAAGAAUGGUACAGCAUGCUUCAGCUAUUUGCAUCACUUUGGAAGAAUCUAAAGAAUGGGUCACCUCAAGCAUUUUGUGGCGCAAGCUCUCCAGAAUAUGCAUCUAUAGCAUGUAUUUAGAGCUGUCAGAUUUCAAAAACCCUUGUUAUUUGGGCAGCAUGUCAGGACAUUAUCACCAUGAAGCUCCGAAGCACAUCCUUUUUUAGCAUCUGUAAUUAAUGGCACUGUAUUUACUGAAUGCUGUAUGUUUAGUGUUUGUGUGUGGGCAACAUUUUGCUCUGCCAUCCACUGUGAUAGUUUGCUACAAUUUUGGGGUAUCUCUCUCUUUAUGUCCAA
This is a long non-coding RNA of Musa acuminata AAA Group (dessert banana), 1674 nucleotides long. RefSeq lists it as uncharacterized. The transcript is spliced from 6 exons. NCBI's taxonomy places the organism in Eukaryota, Viridiplantae, Streptophyta, Magnoliopsida, Zingiberales, Musaceae. The record is from RefSeq and is a predicted model, not a curated record.